This 22-nucleotide small RNA is filed under the name Arabidopsis thaliana (thale cress). Its description in RNAcentral is "Ath_wt_20718". Lineage: Eukaryota; Viridiplantae; Streptophyta; Magnoliopsida; Brassicales; Brassicaceae. The record is from RNAcentral.
GGAUGCUAACGCAAUGUGAUUU